This 497-nucleotide ribosomal RNA is filed under the name uncultured bacterium. RNAcentral's name for it is "partial 16S ribosomal RNA". It matches the Rfam family "Bacterial small subunit ribosomal RNA", at positions 28 to 507 of the family's 1533-position model. The record is from RNAcentral.
GAUGAACGCUGGCGGCGUGCCUAAUACAUGCAAGUCGAGCGAACGGACGAGAAGCUUGCUUCUCUGAUGUUAGCGGCGGACGGGUGAGUAACACGUGGAUAACCUACCUAUAAGACUGGGAUAACUACGGGAAACCGGUGCUAAUACCGGAUAAUAUUUUGAACCGCAUGGUUCAAAAGUGAAAGACGGUCUUGCUGUCACUUAUAGAUGGAUCCGCGCUGCAUUAGCUAGUUGGUAAGGUAACGGCUUACCAAGGCAACGAUGCAUAGCCGACCUGAGAGGAUGAUCGGCCACACUGGAACUGAGACACGGUCCAGACUCCUACGGGAGGCAGCAGUAGGGAAUCUUCCACAAUGGGCGAAAGCCUGACCGAGCAACGCCGCGUGGGUGAUGAAGUUCUUCGGAUCGUAAAGCUCUGUUGUUAGGGAAGAACAUAUGUGUAAGUAACUGUUCACAUCUUGACGGUACCUAAUCAAAAAGCCACGGCUAACUACGUG